UACAGAGGGUGCGAGCGUUGUCCGGAAUCACUGGGCGUAAAGGGCGCGUAGGUGGCGGCCCAAGUCCAUGGUGAAAGCUCGAUGCUCAACCCCGAGUCGGCCGUGCGAACUGCUGGGCUCGAGCACUGUAGAGGCAGGCGGAAUUCCGGGUGUAGCGGUGGAAUGCGUAGAGAUCCGGAAGAACACCGGUGGCGAAGGCGGCCUGCUGGGCAGUAGCUGACACUGAGGCGCGACAGCGUGGGGAGCAAACAGG
Molecule: ribosomal RNA, 253 nt
Filed under: uncultured bacterium
Lineage: Bacteria
Description: partial 16S ribosomal RNA
Rfam family: Bacterial small subunit ribosomal RNA
Source: RNAcentral